Molecule: ribosomal RNA, 1434 nt
Filed under: uncultured bacterium
Lineage: Bacteria
Description: bacterial SSU rRNA
Rfam family: Bacterial small subunit ribosomal RNA
Source: RNAcentral
AGAGUUUGAUCCUGGCUCAGGAUGAACGCCGGCUGUGUGCCUAAUACAUGCAAGUCGUACGCACUGGCCCAACUGAUUGAUGGUGCUUGCACCUGAUUGACGUUGGAUCACCAGUGAGUGGCGGACGGGUGAGUAACACGUAGGUAACCUGCCCCGGAGCGGGGGAUAACAUUUGGAAACAGAUGCUAAUACCGCAUAACAACAAAAGCCACAUGGCUUUUGUUUGAAAGAUGGCUUUGGCUAUCACUCUGGGAUGGACCUGCGGUGCAUUAGCUAGUUGGUAAGGUAACGGCUUACCAAGGCGAUGAUGCAUAGCCGAGUUGAGAGACUGAUCGGCCACAAUGGAACUGAGACACGGUCCAUACUCCUACGGGAGGCAGCAGUAGGGAAUCUUCCACAAUGGGCGCAAGCCUGAUGGAGCAACACCGCGUGAGUGAAGAAGGGUUUCGGCUCGUAAAGCUCUGUUGUUGGAGAAGAACGUGCGUGAGAGUAACUGUUCACGCAGUGACGGUAUCCAACCAGAAAGUCACGGCUAACUACGUGCCAGCAGCCGCGGUAAUACGUAGGUGGCAAGCGUUAUCCGGAUUUAUUGGGCGUAAAGCGAGCGCAGGCGGUUGCUUAGGUCUGAUGUGAAAGCCUUCGGCUUAACCGUAGAAGUGCAUCGGAAACCGGGCGACUUGAGUGCAGAAGAGGACAGUGGAACUCCAUGUGUAGCGGUGGAAUGCGUAGAUAUAUGGAAGAACACCAGUGGCGAAGGCGGCUGUCUGGUCUGCAACUGACGCUGAGGCUCGAAAGCAUGGGUAGCGAACAGGAUUAGAUACCCUGGUAGUCCAUGCCGUAAACGAUGAGUGCUAGGUGUUGGAGGGUUUCCGCCCUUCAGUGCCGGAGCUAACGCAUUAAGCACUCCGCCUGGGGAGUACGACCGCAAGGUUGAAACUCAAAGGAAUUGACGGGGGCCCGCACAAGCGGUGGAGCAUGUGGUUUAAUUCGAAGCUACGCGAAGAACCUUACCAGGUCUUGACAUCUUGCGCUAACCUUAGAGAUAAGGCGUUCCCUUCGGGGACGCAAUGACAGGUGGUGCAUGGUCGUCGUCAGCUCGUGUCGUGAGAUGUUGGGUUAAGUCCCGCAACGAGCGCAACCCUUGUUACUAGUUGCCAGCAUUAAGUUGGGCACUCUAGUGAGACUGCCGGUGACAAACCGGAGGAAGGUGGGGACGACGUCAGAUCAUCAUGCCCCUUAUGACCUGGGCUACACACGUGCUACAAUGGACGGUACAACGAGUCGCAAGCUCGCGAGAGUAAGCUAAUCUCUUAAAGCCGUUCUCAGUUCGGACUGUAGGCUGCAACUCGCCUACACGAAGUCGGAAUCGCUAGUAAUCGCGGAUCAGCAUGCCGCGGUGAAUACGUUCCCGGGCCUUGUACACACCGCCCGUCA